Molecule: long non-coding RNA, 709 nt
Filed under: Monodelphis domestica (gray short-tailed opossum)
Lineage: Eukaryota; Metazoa; Chordata; Mammalia; Didelphimorphia; Didelphidae
Description: lncRNA (ENSMODG00000035821.2)
Source: RNAcentral
GUCCAAAACAGGUGUUCUGACUGGAGGACAAGCUACCAAUUAACUAGGAACAAUUUAGUGCAAAGAGAUGGAAAACAAAUAGAAUGCAGAUAAAAAAGGUCACACAGAAGCUAAAUUAUCUGUUGGUUCAUUCUUAUCCCAGGCCAAUUAUUCCAAUUGUGUUGAGAGCCAUAUAAAUCAAGUCUAACUAUCCCAAGUCUUCUAAGAAGCUAUCCUUUAGUUGGAGUCCAACUGAGUAGGACUAGAAAAAUAUCGAGGAGUCCAGUAUUGUAUUCUGGGAAGAAUUAUCAUGACUUACAUUUCCAAAAAAUUUUAUGGCUUGCAUAUUUAAGUCCUGUAAGAUUUAUUAUGCUCAUUCUGAAGAUGAAAAAGCUGAGACUCAGAGGGGAUGAAGUGAUUGUCUGUCAGCUCAGUGUUUGAAAACCUUUGCAAGAUGACCUUUGAGGAUUUGGAUGCUUUGGAUUUCCUCUAUUUGUGGCAGGAGUGCCCCUCAAACAAUGGUGUAAACUGAGCUUACCAGUAGAAGCUGAAGAAAAACAAGACAAAAUGAGGAAAGGCAGUGUCAGGACUCUACAAGUGCCCAGUCCUAAAUUCCCACAAACUAAAGAGGACUUCCAUGAAUGCCAUAUAAAGGUAGAAAACCAAGAGCUCUGACUUGCCCCUUUUUCAACUGUGCUCUUCAAGCUUGAGCUCACUUUCUCAUGGAUUC